AACGAACGCUGGCGGCAUGCCUAACACAUGCAAGUCGAACGAGACGUCCGGGCUUAGUGGCGCACGGGUGCGUAACGCGUGGGAACCUGCCCUUAGGUUCGGAAUAACUCUCCGAGAGGGGUGCUAAUAACUGAUAAUGUUUUCGGACCAAAGAUGUAUCGCCUUUGGAUGGGCGCGGGUUGUAUUAGUUAGUUGGUAGGGAAAAGGCGUACGAAGGCGACGAUCCAUAGCUGGUCUGAGAGGGUGAUCAGACAAACUGGGACAGAGACACGGCCCAGACUCCUACAGGAGGCAGCAAAGGAGAAUAUUGGACGAAAAGCGCAAACCUGAUACAGCAAUGCGGCGAGGGUGGUGAAGGCGUUAGGAUAGUAUAGCUCUUUUACCCGGGAUGAUAAUGACGGUACCUGGAGAAAAAGCACCGGCUAACUCCGUG
This 433-nucleotide ribosomal RNA is filed under the name uncultured bacterium. RNAcentral describes it as "partial 16S ribosomal RNA". It matches the Rfam family "Bacterial small subunit ribosomal RNA", at positions 29 to 507 of the family's 1533-position model. The record is from RNAcentral.